AAUGUUUUUCACUUAAUUAAAUGAUUAAAUGGAAAAAAAAAAAAAUCUUUUCUUAUCAGUUUAAUAUCUGAUAUGUCCUCUAUAUGAGGACUACAUAUUAAACGGAUUUUUGACCGUGGGAGUCGGAACAGGGGCUUGCUCCAUCCGCUCCAUGAAUCAGCCCGGUAUUGCAGUACUUCUGGGAAUGGUGCACCUCUU
Small nuclear RNA from Silurus meridionalis, 198 nucleotides. RefSeq annotates it as U2 spliceosomal RNA. The transcript has a single exon. The record is from RefSeq and is a predicted model, not a curated record. Lineage: Eukaryota; Metazoa; Chordata; Actinopteri; Siluriformes; Siluridae.